UACGGAGGGUGCAAGCGUUAUCCGGAUUCACUGGGUUUAAAGGGUGCGUAGGUGGGCAGGUAAGUCAGUGGUGAAAUCUCUGGGCUUAACCCGGAAACUGCCAUUGAUACUAUCUGUCUUGAAUACCCUGGAGGUGAGCGGAAUAUGUCAUGUAGCGGUGAAAUGCUUAGAUAUGACAUAGAACACCCAUUGCGAAGGCAGCUCACUACAGGAAUAUUGACACUGAGGCACGAAAGCGUGGGGAUCAAACAGG
Molecule: ribosomal RNA, 253 nt
Filed under: uncultured bacterium
Lineage: Bacteria
Description: partial 16S ribosomal RNA
Rfam family: Bacterial small subunit ribosomal RNA
Source: RNAcentral